GCUCCCGCUUGCAGCGCAUCAGCACGGUCAUCCAACUCCGACAACUUCUGAUCUCUUUCCAGCACCUUGUCCACAUUCACCCUCAUGAUGUCAACAACCUCAUCUACUUGAUGUUGAGUUUGCUGAAGUCGACGGUUACUGCCAGCAGGCACAUUUGUGUUUCCAGGGACAUUGGCUGACAUCCUGCCGCGGGGACGGAGCCGCUGCGCACCCAAA
This 216-nucleotide long non-coding RNA is filed under the name Gallus gallus (chicken). Lineage: Eukaryota; Metazoa; Chordata; Aves; Galliformes; Phasianidae. The record is from RNAcentral.